GAUGAAGAACGUAGCGAAAUGCGAUAAGUAAUGUGAAUUGCAGAAUUCAAUGAAUCAUCGAAUCUUUGAACGCACAUUGCGCCCGCCAGUAUUCUGGCGGGCAUGCCUGUUCGAGCGUCAUUUCAACCCUCAAGCCCCCGGGCUUGGUGUUGGGGAUCGGCGUGCCCUCGCGGCGCGCCGUCCCCUAAAUCUAGUGGCGGUCUCGCUGUAGCUUCCUCUGCGUAGUAGCAACACUCGCACUGGAUCGCAGCGCGGCCACGCCGUUAAACCCCCCACUUCUGAAAGUUUGACCUCGGAUCAGGUAGGAAUACCCGCUGAACUUAAGCAUAUCAAUAAGCGGAGGA
Molecule: unclassified non-coding RNA, 344 nt
Filed under: soil metagenome
Description: partial contains 5.8S ribosomal RNA, internal transcribed spacer 2, and large subunit ribosomal RNA
Rfam family: 5.8S ribosomal RNA (bases 1-120)
Source: RNAcentral